GGAGGAGUGGCUGAGUGGUUGAAAGCGGCGGUCUUGAAAACCGUUAGGCUCGUAAGGGUCUCAGGGGUUCGAAUCCUCUCUCCUCCGCCA
Molecule: transfer RNA, 90 nt
Filed under: Candidatus Omnitrophota bacterium
Lineage: Bacteria; Pseudomonadati; Candidatus Omnitrophota
Also listed under: 1 other name
Description: tRNA-Ser
Rfam family: tRNA
About the family: Transfer RNA (tRNA) molecules are approximately 80 nucleotides in length. Their secondary structure includes four short double-helical elements and three loops (D, anti-codon, and T loops).
Source: RNAcentral